ACACGUGGUAUCCUGUCUGAAUAUGGGGGGACCAUCCUCCAAGGCUAAAUACUCCUGACUGACCGAUAGUGAACCAGUACCGUGAGGGAAAGGCGAAAAGAACCCCGGCGAGGGGAGUGAAAAAGAACCUGAAACCGUGUACGUACAAGCAGUGGGAGCACCUUAGGGUGUGACUGCGUACCUUUUGUAUAAUGGGUCAGCGACUUAUAUUCUGUAGCAAGGUUAACCGUAUAGGGGAGCCGCAGGGAAACCGAGUCUUUAACU
This 264-nucleotide ribosomal RNA is filed under the name Klebsiella pneumoniae. RNAcentral describes it as "partial 23S ribosomal RNA". It matches the Rfam family "Bacterial large subunit ribosomal RNA", at positions 422 to 690 of the family's 2925-position model. The record is from RNAcentral. Lineage: Bacteria; Pseudomonadati; Pseudomonadota; Gammaproteobacteria; Enterobacterales; Enterobacteriaceae.